Molecule: non-coding RNA, 81 nt
Organism: Podarcis lilfordi (Lilford's wall lizard)
Lineage: Eukaryota; Metazoa; Chordata; Lepidosauria; Squamata; Lacertidae
Source: the annotation of a GenBank genome assembly
GGAAGGGCCAUAGCUCAGUGGUAGAGCAUCUGUCUUGUAUGGAGCAGGUCCCAGGUUCAAUUACAGGGCCCAGCAUCUUCA